AUGAAAGAUGGAAUUUUGAUUUUUUUUCAAAACUGUUGCAUACAGUUGAAAAGUUGCUAUUGCAUUACAUGGAUGAUUUGGUUGAAUUCAUAUAGACAGUUACAUUUACACAUCAUAAGAGAUGCAGCAAGUUGUUCUUGCGGUGUAGCCAUAUAUUUGUGUGCACAUAGUUGUAUAUGUUUUGCUCGUCAUGCUUAGUUAAGGAUGAUACUGAUAUUGCCACUUUCCAUGACAUUGAUGACUGGUGUAGUAGCACUCUUCAUGGUUAGCUGCACUUCUGCUUAACUUCAAAUCAAAUGCAGAGAGUUAUUAGUAGGUGCAAAAUAUUGAAGAUAGUCCUGCGGCAACAGAAAGUUGGCAAGAGAUUGUUGAAAAUUUUCUAUGGCAAACAAUGUCACAACCGUUGCCAAAAUAUGGAAUAGUGUAUUUUGCAUUUGCUUUCAUACCUUUCUUGUUGGCGCUAUUUCUGCAUUUUGCUUUUUGAUAUGACAUAUGUCUUGUGAAGGUUUGCUUGCUUGUAAGCCACAUGUCAGGGUCUUAUAUAUUCAUUAUUUUCAUCCCAAAAGCUAGUUCUCAGUGUCGUUAAGUGUGUGAGAAAUUUGUUUCAUGACUU
Molecule: non-coding RNA, 613 nt
Organism: Solanum lycopersicum (tomato)
Lineage: Eukaryota; Viridiplantae; Streptophyta; Magnoliopsida; Solanales; Solanaceae
Source: RefSeq, a predicted model, not a curated record